Molecule: ribosomal RNA, 1691 nt
Filed under: metagenome
Description: SSU rRNA
Rfam family: Eukaryotic small subunit ribosomal RNA
Source: RNAcentral
UCUGGUUGAUCCUGCCUGAACUGAUGUGUUCAUUUCAAAGAUUAAGCCAUGCAUGUAUAAGUAUAAACGACUUGAUCGUGAAACCGCGAACGGCUCAUUAUAACAGCUAUAAUUUACUUGAUCUUGACAAUUUACUUGGAUAACUGUGGUAAUUCUAGAGCUAAUACAUGCACCAAAGCUCCGACCGUAAGGAAAGAGCGCAUUUAUUAGAACAAAACCAAGCGGCUUCGGCCGUUCAAUGUUGAAUCAUAAUAACUAAGCUGAUCGCAUGGUCUUGUACCGGCGACGUGUCUUUCAAGUAUCUGCCUUAUCAACUUUCGAUGGUAGUGUAUCUGACUACCAUGGUUGUGACGGGUAACGGAGGAUAAGGGUUCGACUCCGGAGAAGGGGCCUGAGAAAUGGCCACUACGUCUAAGGAUGGCAGCAGGCGCGCAAAUUACCCACUCUCAGAACGAGGAGGUAGUGACGAGAAAUAACAAGACCGUUCUCUUCAGAGGCCGGUCAUUGGAAUGGGUACAAUUUAAACCCUUUAACGAGUAUCUAUGAGAGGGCAAGUCUGGUGCCAGCAGCCGCGGUAAUUCCAGCUCUCAAAAUGCAUAGAAUCAUUGCUGCGGUUAAAAAGCUCGUAGUUGGAUCUGUGCUGGCGGGUCGGUCCACCUUCGGGUGCGCACUGAUUUCGCCGGCUUUCCUGCUGUAUUUGGCCCUGUGCCUUUCAACGGGUGCAGUGUCCAGUGCAGCAAGUUUACCUUGAACAAAUCAGAGUGCUUCAAACAGGCGUUUCGCUUGAAUGUUCGUGCAUGGAAUAAUAGAAGAGGAUUUCGGUUCUAUUUUAUUGGUUUUAUAGACUGAGAUAAUGGUUAACAGAGACUAACGGGGGCAUUAGUAUUGCUACGUGAGAGGUGAAAUUCUUGGACCGUAGCAAGACUGACUACAGCGAAAGCAUUUGCCAAGAAAGUCUUCAUUAAUCAAGAACGAAAGUCAGAGGUUCGAAGGCGAUCAGAUACCGCCCUAGUUCUGACCGUAAACGAUGCCAACUAGUGAUCCGCCGGUGGAACAUUCGCCCUGGUGGGGAACUUCCCGGAAACGAAAGUCUUCCGGUUCCGGGGGAAGUAUGGUUGCAAAGCUGAAACUUAAAGGAAUUGACGGAAGGGCACCACCAGGAGUGGAGCCUGCGGCUUAAUUUGACCCAACACGGGAAAACUCACCCGGCCCGGACACCGUAAGGAUUGACAGAUUGAUAGCUCUUUCAUGAUUCGGUGGAUGGUGGUGCAUGGCCGUUCUUAGUUCGUGGAGCGAUUUGUCUGGUUUAUUCCGAUAACGGGCGGACUCUGGCCUACUAAAUAGUUUACACAUUGCUUCUGUGUGCAUAACUUCUUAGAGGGAUUUUCGGUGUUCAGCCGCAAGAAAUUGAGCAAUAACAGGUCUGUGAUGCCCUUAGAUGUCCGGGGCUGCACGCGCGCUACACUGGCAAAAUCAGCGUGCUUGUCCUUCCCCGAAAGGGGUUGGUAAACUCGUGAAAAUUUGCCGUGAUUGGGAUCGGAAAUUGCAAUUAUUUUCCGUGAACGAGGAAUUCCAAGUAAGUGCGAGUCAUCAACUCGCGUUGAUUACGUCCCUGCCCUUUGUACACACCGCCCGUCGCUGCCCGGGACUGAGCCGUUUCGAGAAACUUGGAGACCGCUGAUCUGGUAACU